RNAcentral lists this long non-coding RNA (520 nucleotides) under Salmo salar (Atlantic salmon). RNAcentral's name for it is "lncRNA (ENSSSAG00000118696.1)". The record is from RNAcentral. Lineage: Eukaryota; Metazoa; Chordata; Actinopteri; Salmoniformes; Salmonidae.
AGACUGUCGGGGAGAGUGGUCUGAGGUUAGUAGUAGACUGUCAGGGGAGAGUGGCAUGGGGUUAGCAGUAGACUGUUGAGGAGAGUGGUCUGGGGUUAGCAGAAGACUGUCAGGGGAGAGUGGUCUGAGGUUAGUAGUAGACUGUCAGGGGAGAGUGGUCUGGGGUUAGCAGUAGACUGUCAGGGGAGAGUGGUCUGGGGUUAGUAGUAGACUGUCAGGGGAGAGUGGUCUGGGGUUAGCAGUAGACUGUCAGGGGAGAGUGGUCUGAGGUUAGUAGUAGACUGUCAGGGGAGAAUGGCAUGGGGUUAGCAGUAGACUGUCAGGGGAGAGUGGUCUGAGGUUAGUAGUAGACUGUCGGGGAGAGUGGCAUGGGGUUAGUAGUAGACUGUCAGGGGAGAGUGGUCUGGGGUUAGUAGUAGACUGUCGGGGAGAGUGGCAUGGGGUUAGUAGUAGACUGUCAGGGGAGAGUGGUCUGAGGUUAGUAGUAGACUGUCAGGGGAGAGUGGUCUGGGGUUAGUAG